Ictalurus punctatus (channel catfish) is the source of this 1272-nucleotide long non-coding RNA. The record is from Ensembl. Lineage: Eukaryota; Metazoa; Chordata; Actinopteri; Siluriformes; Ictaluridae.
CUAAUACAGAGUGUAGUGCAAGUAAGAUCUGUAAUUUCUAAUUAAAACACUAAGGUCAAAAGUAAACACAAGUAAAAUAAUAUCCCUAAAGGCGGUGAGUAACAGAAAAAUGCAGUGAAAAUGAGUUCUUAUUAUUAGACAAACUAAUUCUUCCCUUUGUCACUUCCUGUUAGUUUAUAUGACGAUUACUCCGAGUCGGUCCCAUUUGGUUUCAAAGAAUAUUACAAGGACGAGCGCGUGAAGUAUAAACGCCUCGCCAGGUGGUAGGUUUGAGCUAUAUGGCGGUAGGUUGGCGGUAUAUGGCGGCAGAUAGAGUUCGACGUCGAUGAAGGUCUUCUUCGCUUAGCCCCUUCCUAGCUCGCGGUACGGAGCCAGGCAAAAGUCUUAAGGUAACCCUUAGGCCGGUUGGCUCAGAUAGUUAGAUCGUGGUGCUAUUAACGCCAAGGUCACGGGUUCGAUCCCCGUACGGGCCAUGAGAUGCUUUGAUCUUCAGACAAAUUCACUGACAAGCCAACACCAUGCUUGACUACCUCCAGCAAUAGCCAAGCAAACACUGAUUUGUGCGAGGCAACGCCUUUUUAAGCCUCUACGGUUUGUGGCUCCUUGCUUCCUUUAAAUUUAUUAUUUUUUUCUUUCAGGUGGCAGGUGGAGUUAGACGGCAAUAGGUAACCAUAGAGAAAGCCAGAUGGCGCAAAAUUCAGGAAUUUUUAAAAAAUAUAUAUAGUUAAUUCUAUUUCCUUUUGUACAUGAAGUUGAAAGUACAAAGCUAUAAAAUAAAUAAAAUAAAGCUCAAGCUGACAGGUUUUCUUUUGGGUUGCACCAUGUAUUCAUUCAUCAGUAUCUUCACAAAUAAACCCAGUCACUACACAUUAAGACGGUGAUUAAACCUCAUUCUUUUGUCUUUACAAAUAGAGAUAUUUACAUGGAUGGGCGGCCAUUCAGAGUGAUCAUUCUGUAAUAUCUUUCUUUUAUCUCUAUAGAUAAAGAGAUAGUUGCAUUGCUGGGCGAACAUUAUCACCUGAUUUUGUGAGAAAUGACAUUUGCAGGAAACACCCACUUUUUGCAAACGUCUGCUGUAAUUGCUAACAUUUAAACAUUCAGCCUACAAUAAAUAAUAAGUCUAUUCAAUGAAAGUAAAGGUCAGUGUUUAAUCAAAAAUGUUAAAGAAAUGAAUGAAAUAAUAAUUUAAAAAAAUUGGUUGAUCAAUUUAGUUUAAUACAGGUUCUCAUAUUCAUGGCUUUAUUUUCCUGUAAGGUGACAAGUGAUAAUCUC